UACCAGCUCUCCGAGUGGUAGGGAUGAUUAUUGGGCUUAAAGCGUCCGUAGCCGGCUUAGCAAGUUUCCUGUUAAAUUCAGCGACCUAAUCGUUGAGCCGCGGGAAAUACUACUAGGCUAGGAGGCGGGAGAGGUCGACGGUACUUCUGGGGUAGGGGUGAAAUCCUAUAAUCCCGGGAGGACCACCAGUGGCGGAGGCUGUCGACUAGAACGCGCUCGACGGUGAGGGACGAAAGCUGGGGGAGCGAACCGGAUUAGAUACCCGGGUAGUCCCAGCUGUAAACGAUGCGGGCUAGGUGUUGGGGUGGCUACGUGCCACUUCAGUGCCGCAGGGAAGCCAUUAAGCCCGCCGCCUGGGGAGUACGGCCGCAAGGCUGAAACUUAAAGGAAUUGGCGGGGGAGCACCACAAGGCGUGAAGCUUGCGGUUC
RNAcentral lists this ribosomal RNA (429 nucleotides) under uncultured archaeon. Its description in RNAcentral is "bacterial SSU rRNA". It matches the Rfam family "Archaeal small subunit ribosomal RNA", at positions 474 to 903 of the family's 1478-position model. The record is from RNAcentral.